This 648-nucleotide ribosomal RNA is filed under the name uncultured Crater Lake bacterium CL500-17. Its description in RNAcentral is "bacterial SSU rRNA". It matches the Rfam family "Bacterial small subunit ribosomal RNA", at positions 8 to 672 of the family's 1533-position model. The record is from RNAcentral.
AGAGUUUGAUCCUGGCUCAGGACGAACGCUGGCGGCGUGCUUAACACAUGCAAGUCGAGCGAUGAAACACCUUCGGGUGUGAAUUAGCGGCGAACGGGUGAGGAACACGUGAAGAAUCUGCCUUCAACUCUGGGAUAACUCCGGGAAACCGGGGCUAAUACCGGAUAUGAGCCUUGAUCGCAUGAUCGGGGCUGGAAAGUUUUUCGGUUGAAGAUGACUUCGCGGCCUAUCAGCUUGUUGGUGAGGUAAUGGCUCACCAAGGCGACGACGGGUAGCCGGCCUGAGAGGGCGACCGGCCACACUGGGACUGAGACACGGCCCAGACUCCUACGGGAGGCAGCAGUGGGGAAUAUUGGGCAAUGGAGGAAACUCUGACCCAGCGACGCCGCGUGAGGGAUGAAGGCCUUCGGGUUGUAAACCUCUUUCAGUAGGGAAGAAGCGAAAGUGACGGUACCUACAGAAGAAGCACCGGCUAACUAUGUGCCAGCAGCCGCGGUAAUACAUAGGGUGCAAGCGUUGUCCGGAAUUAUUGGGCGUAAAGAGCUCGUAGGUGGUUCGAUACGUCGGAUGUGAAAAUCAGGGGCUCAACCCCUGACCUGCAUCCGAUACGGUCGAGCUGGAGUUUGGUAGGGGAGACUGGAAUUCCUG